RNAcentral lists this ribosomal RNA (301 nucleotides) under uncultured bacterium. RNAcentral's name for it is "bacterial SSU rRNA". It matches the Rfam family "Bacterial small subunit ribosomal RNA", at positions 43 to 362 of the family's 1533-position model. The record is from RNAcentral.
GAAUUCGAUUCAGGCAAAACACAUGCAAGUCGAACGAGACCUUCGGGUCUAGUGGCGCACGGGUGCGUAACGCGUGGGAAUCUGCCCUUCGGUUCGGAAUAACUCAGGGAAACUUGAGCUAAUACCGGAUAAUGACUUCGGUCCAAAGAUUUAUCGCCGAGGGAUGAGCCCGCGUAGGAUUAGCUUGUUGGUGAGGUAAAAGCUCACCAAGGCGACAAUCCUUAGCUGGUUUUAGAGGGGGAUCAGCCACACUGGGACUGAGACACGGCCCAGACUCCUACGGGAGGCAGCAGUGGGGAAU